GAUGAACGCUGGCGGCGUGCCUAAUACAUGCAAGUCGAGCGAACAGACGAGGAGCUUGCUCCUCUGACGUUAGCGGCGGACGGGUGAGUAACACGUGGAUAACCUACCUAUAAGACUGGGAUAACUUCGGGAAACCGGAGCUAAUACCGGAUAAUAUAUUGAACCGCAUGGUUCAAUAGUGAAAGACGGUUUUGCUGUCACUUAUAGAUGGAUCCGCGCCGCAUUAGCUAGUUGGUAAGGUAAGGCUUACCAAGGCAACGAUGCAUAGCCGACCUGAGAGGGUGAUCGGCCACACUGGAACUGAGACACGGUCCAGACUCCUACGGGAGGCAGCAGUAGGGAAUCUUCCGCAAUGGGCGAAAGCCUGACGGAGCAACGCCGCGUGAGUGAUGAAGGUCUUCGGAUCGUAAAACUCUGUUAUUAGGGAAGAACAAAUGUGUAAGUAACUAUGCACGUCUUGACGGUACCUAAUCAGAAAGCCACGGCUAACUACGUG
Molecule: ribosomal RNA, 496 nt
Filed under: uncultured bacterium
Lineage: Bacteria
Description: partial 16S ribosomal RNA
Rfam family: Bacterial small subunit ribosomal RNA
Source: RNAcentral